Molecule: non-coding RNA, 930 nt
Organism: Aegilops tauschii subsp. strangulata
Lineage: Eukaryota; Viridiplantae; Streptophyta; Magnoliopsida; Poales; Poaceae
Source: RefSeq, a predicted model, not a curated record
CGCCCGAUUAUAAUCGGAGGGCCCGAGUAGCCCCUAAACUAAUCUACCUGCUAUAUAAUCAGACCAAACCCUAUUUUCUAGGGAUCCUCCCCUGUCCCAUCCAUCUCACCGCCGCCGCCACUGUUCUCUCGGGAUCCAUCCCGAGCCAACCGCCGUCCCUCCUGCCCGAUCCAUCCAUCCAGCGCUCCCCACUGCUCCUCCUCGAUCUAGGUGCCCGUGCCCCCGAUCCAAACUCCCUCUCGAGCUCUCCCUGCCAACUAGUGCCUCCCCUGGAUCCCGUCGUCUUCACGUGCCACGCCGGAGUUCCACCUCGCCGGAGCACAGGACCCCUCUGCCGCCGCGCCAUGGAUGGCUGCAGCCCAAGGCGCGUCCUCGCCGGGUCUCUCGCGUGCCCGAGCUCCAGCUUGCCUGUCCGUCUCCUCGUCCUCGUGGCCGAAGCAACCGAACAGGAGGCCGAGCGCCCAAGCCCAGCAGCCGUGCGCCUCCUCCCUCGACCAGCCGGAGCUUCUUCCAGCCUCGCGCGCCCGAGCCCCCGAGCUCCUCUGGUCGCGCACGAGCUUCGUGACCCCCCAACGGCCACUUCAUCAGCCUCGUCGCCGUCACGAGAACUAGCUGCCGCCAACAUCGCCGGAGAUGGACCCCCGACGCCCAGAUCCGCUCGCCUUCACUGCCUCGGCGCCGUCCCUGUCGCCGUCGUCUUCAUCGGUUCCUGACGAGGACGGCGCCCCUCCAGUUCGUCUCGAGCGCCAUUCUUUGCCCGAUCUGGUCCCCGUUGACCGCGAGCAUUGGCUGGGUCACAGCUGCGCAGGCCCUUCGCCCGCGAGCCCAGCUCCGCGUCCCUGCAGGCCCAAUGUGAGCCACAGCCCAGUCCCUGGCCCAGCAGUGUGCUAACUCAGCCCGUGUUGUGUUUUUUUCCUCUGGACGAAUUUG